UUAUUAAAUUCUAAACGUUUUGACCCACUUCGGGUCUUCUUCAGUAGAAUCCUCAAAACAAAUUAUGUGCGGAUUCGAUAAAGGAGCGAAUACUAAUGUAGUAUAUAAAAUCAACUGUAAAAAUUGUGAUGUUUCAUAUGUAGGUCAGACUAGCAGAAAAUUGAAUACUAGGAUAUUGGAGCAUAAAAAAAUAUCAAUAGAAAUUGUUUUAAUAAGUCAGUUGUUACUGAUCAUAGAAUUGAGUUCUGAUUUUGACAUUCCAUGAUUUUGACUGGGAUGAAGUAAAAAUUUUAGAUAAAGAACCGUAUUAUAAUAAUAGAUUAAUAUCGGAAAUGUUAUAUAUAAAAAGACAAUCUAAUGAAUUGAAUCUACAAAAUGACACUGAAUAUUUACUGGUAUAUAAUAACAUUUUAGAGUCUCUACCAAAAUCAUCAGGGCCAAAAAACAAGCCUUGAUAUACAGGGGUUAAACACUGAGUUACUGUCUCGUUUGAUAUCUGAGAGCCGUGAUGGUUAGACGUUUUGUUUUGUCUUUACUUGAAACAUCUAAAAAAAUGUCAGACCUGAUACUUGAAACAUCUAUAUAAAAAAUCACCAAUUUGUUGGAAUAUUGUUUAUAUAGAUCUCAAUCAAAUACUUAACAUUAUUACAUCAUGAAAAUUGAAUCAAGAUAUUUUCUUUGACCAUUAAAGGGUAAUACUUAUAAAUAAUUGUAUUGUACGGUCGCUUGAACUCAGUAUGUAUCAGCAUUACUGGUGUUAUACUCGAUAACUUUUUUAACAACAUAUGUAACGAGAUCAAUAACUGUUUUGAUAUUUAUAUGUUUUCUUGACAUUGUCAAUAACCGUUUUUAAUAUUUAAUGUUACAAUCUCUUUUUAAAUUUAAUUUGUAAGGUUCAAUUUAUAAUUAAAAAUCUAUGUAUUGCGCUGAAAAAGGCUUAAAAUGUCAGCCGAAAUGUUCGCAAAUGAUGACUUUUUAUGUAAUUACUAUUUGGUUUAAAUGAAUUUUCUUAAUAUCAA
Nylanderia fulva is the source of this 1019-nucleotide non-coding RNA. The record is from RefSeq and is a predicted model, not a curated record. Lineage: Eukaryota; Metazoa; Arthropoda; Insecta; Hymenoptera; Formicidae.